UCAUCUGGUUCAAAAGUCACAGACGCCACUCAUAAGCCCGUGACUAUGACGCCUAGUUUUGCACAGCAGCAAACUGAGGCCCAGAGAGGGGAAGCGGCUUUCCUAAGGCUGCCCAGCUCACAGGCAGCAGAGGCAGAAGAACCGAGGUGUCUUUCUGCUCAUCCGCUGGCGGGAGGCCUUCCCCAAAGCGCCUUCCCUUGCUCCGUCAUACAGGAGGCUGUUGGCUGUGUUUUCCUGAAUCGUCACGUAUGCUUCAGCACCGGCUGCGUCUUCCGGAAUGCGUAGGGAAGAAGUCCUCCUGGAUUGAUCCCAUAUCUCCUUGGAGAAACACAGCUUGUCUCAUCACCCAGCCCUGCUGUCACAGCUCUGUCCGUGACAUUCCUGUCCCAAACUGCCUACUUGAAGCAACUCAGCCGGGAGACAGAGGGAUGGAAGCAAUGACCCUGAAGAGUCAGAGGGGAGGGAAGAUGAAGAGGUCUCGGGAAUCUCACUCAAUGGGAGAGCAGCCUGGGUCCUGGACCUGUGAAAAGCACACGCACGUUUUCCUGCCCCAAAGCAGCCCCUGCAGUCAAGACAGCGUCUGAGACAGAGGCUGGAUCCCGCGGGUUGUCCUGACCUGGCUGCACGCUGCCCUCAUCAGCUCCUGCGCCCUCUCCAGGCUUCUGUCACCCUGCCUGGUUGGGGGCAGGGAACCCUGCUCUCCCACUCACCUCCUGUGAAGUCUUCUCUUCCAUGGCUCCCCACUCGCCCUCAGAACCCUCCUUGCUCACUUCUUACCUCUGCUAUCGUGUGGUUCCCACUGUGCUGCCCACCCCUGCGCCUAAGCCCUGGGGGCUCCUGGAGGCUGGACUGUGUCCCUCAGAGCCCCUGCCGUGCUGUCCCAGCACAGUGGCCUGGCUGCCAGGCCCACAGCAGGUGUUCCGAAGAAGUAAGCACUCUUCACCCUGCGCCCCACCCCCUGACCCCAUCAAGGAAAGGGAGGCAGAGUAUGCCUGUCCCGGUCAGGCUCCUGCGGAGGCAGAGACAGGGCAGGGGACGGGAGGGGACAGCAUGGGGCCACACGGACUGGGGGGAGGCUGACAAGGACACCCACACAGAGGAGGCCGAGGGGAGCGAGGGGCAGACUUGGUCCUGGUGAGUAGGAGGCCAGAAGAGGAAAAGACAGGCCCGAGGCGGGGUCUGCAGGGAAAGGCAGCAGGCAGGACCCGGUGACAGAGACCUCAAGAGUCACGGAGCCAGGCCAAGGCAGGGGAGCGUCCCGGAGAUGGAGGGGGAGAGGCAGAGGGCCUCUCGUGUUCUGCACACUUCUUCCCCUUAGACGUGUGUGUCGAGAGGCUGGGCAGGUGCCCCGACCCGGGACAGGGGACCCCCCCCCCGGGGUCUGCAGGCAGGUGAACAGCUGGGGAGACACGCGGAGCACAAGGGGUGGGGGGGAAGGGGCUUGUGCUUCUCACCUGAGCUGAGGAGGGCUCAGAGCUGCACGCACCCCUAUCCCUCCACCUCCCCGCCCCCCUCUCUCCCAGGCCUCCUUCCUUUCAGGUUCCCUGGGCACCCCCCCCCCGGACUGCCCACCCACCUCUCGCUGC
Long non-coding RNA from Acinonyx jubatus (cheetah), 1586 nucleotides. RefSeq lists it as uncharacterized. The record is from RefSeq and is a predicted model, not a curated record. Lineage: Eukaryota; Metazoa; Chordata; Mammalia; Carnivora; Felidae. The transcript is spliced from 3 exons.